GAAGCCCUUGUUGUGAAGGGAGAGAGAACAAGCAGAUAAGGUGUCCUCGGCUGGGAGAGUUACUUGCUUCAAGUUACAGCACUAGAUUUCAUGCCUCUCUCCUGGAAAAAUGUAUGUAACUUGAAAUGUUGAAUGGAUACCAUGGAUCUUGGGAAGGACAUUCAAACAUUGAAAACACACAACACUGGCACCAAGUACUCUAUAAUAGUUGGAACUCAGGCUCAAGUUGGUGAUGCUAUCCAUGACGGGAUGUUAAAGAAGAAGAUGAAACAUAGAAAAGAAAACAAGAGAAGUCUCUUUUCUGGCCUCCUUUCUUAAUUAUGGAAUACAUGGAUCAUUCAGGC
This 344-nucleotide long non-coding RNA is filed under the name Equus caballus (horse). RNAcentral's name for it is "lncRNA (ENSECAG00000059672.1)". The record is from RNAcentral. Lineage: Eukaryota; Metazoa; Chordata; Mammalia; Perissodactyla; Equidae.